Long non-coding RNA from Chelonia mydas (Green sea turtle), 541 nucleotides. RefSeq lists it as uncharacterized. The record is from RefSeq and is a predicted model, not a curated record. The transcript has 4 exons. Lineage: Eukaryota; Metazoa; Chordata; Testudines; Cheloniidae.
AGCUGGAGGAUAGUGGAUGGUGCUUUGGGUUAGUUACCACCAAGGACAAGGCCCUGAGAUAAGGACUGCAUGUGACUUGGUCAGAAGGCUGAGUUGCCAAAGACCCUCCACAAACAAGUAGAGAGUGAGUGUGCAGGCAUACCCACUUGGCCAGUGGGUGCAUGUGAGAGGUGCAAGUCUUCAGGCUCUCAUGAACCUCCUUCUGCAAGGGAAGUGGAACUCGGCUGUUUGUGCAGAGAUCGGUAACUAGUUGGCAACAUCUGAAAUAGUUUUGCAAGGGACAAUUGGCCAAAUGCACUGGGCAUUUUGGAGCUACAAGCCCCUGGAUAUGACUAGCACGGCUACCACUCCGAAACCUAUCCACUACUGGUUUACCUGCCUGGAACAAUGGAUCUUCUACACUGGUGUGGCAAGCCUGAGGGGGGUUGGAGCUGACCAUCGUCAUACGUAGGCAGGAGGGGCUCUGGCUUGCCUGAAACACUAACAGAAUUUCAUGGGGUGAAAUCAGACUGGGGAGGGUGCAGCUUGGGACUUUUGUUGU